Molecule: ribosomal RNA, 503 nt
Filed under: uncultured bacterium
Lineage: Bacteria
Description: partial 16S ribosomal RNA
Rfam family: Bacterial small subunit ribosomal RNA
Source: RNAcentral
AUUGAACGCUGGCGGCAGGCUUAACACAUGCAAGUCGAGCGGGGUGAUGGUGCUUGCACUAUCACUUAGCGGCGGACUGGUGAGCAAUGCUUAGGAAUCUGCCUAUUAGUGGGGGACAACAUCUCGAAAGGGAUGCUAAUACCGCAUACGUCCUACGGGAGAAAGCAGGGGAUCACUUGUGACCUUGCGCUAAUAGAUGAGCCUAAGUCGGAUUAGCUAGUUGGUGGGGUAAAGGCCUACCAAGGCGACGAUCUGUAGCGGGUCUGAGAGGAUGAUCCGCCACACUGGGACUGAGACACGGCCCAGACUCCUACGGGAGGCAGCAGUGGGGAAUAUUGGACAAUGGGGGGAACCCUGAUCCAGCCAUGCCGCGUGUGUGAAGAAGGCCUUAUGGUUGUAAAGCACUUUAAGCGAGGAGGAGGCUCUUUUGGUUAAUACCCAAGAUGAGUGGACGUUACUCGCAGAAUAAGCACCGGCUAACUCUGUGCCAGCAGCCGCAGUAA